Molecule: long non-coding RNA, 329 nt
Organism: Ceratitis capitata (Mediterranean fruit fly)
Lineage: Eukaryota; Metazoa; Arthropoda; Insecta; Diptera; Tephritidae
Exons: 2
Source: RefSeq, a predicted model, not a curated record
AAAAAAAAUCAAGUUUCGUUGUAAAUAGCUUUAAAUUUUGCAAUUAUUUUUUCAAUACAAUAACUUACUUUUAUAAACUAUUGCUGAAUUGCGGUAACUGUAAUGAGUUAAAGAGGAUAAACUUUCGUUUUGGAUUCAAAGCGUAAACUAAACAUUUUUUCUUACUUAUAAAUAAUACAUAUAAUGCAUAAUUUAUAAUGCCAUAGGCGCAUACAUACUUCAAUUACCAUGGAUUUAUAAAUAGUUUUAGUCAUUAAGGAUCAUUAAUACAUAAGAGCUUAAUGUAAUAUAUAGCAUAUAUAUAUAUAAAAAGUAGAUAUAAAUAUGAA